CUCAAUCAGCUGGAAGAGAGUUGGGAACCUCAAGUGAAGUGGUUCAGUUCAGCUAGCUGAAUGAGCUAGCUAGACAGCUAAGGCAGCUGAGACAAAGAGCUAUCAAGCUCCGUGGAUGUGGCAAAGGAUCAACCUUGGAGCUGGUAGUAGUUGUGUCUACUGAUCAUGGCUAAGGUGAUUCGACCUGACAAGUAUUAGAUUGGUUUUAGACCAAUGGUUGAUAGAUAAUAUUCCGCUGUGCAUAAGUUGAAAGGAUCUAAGCUAGGGAAUGACUAAGGGUAUGGACUGAGCGACGUGAGGCAUCGACCGCGGCCUAGCCGGCCGGGUUCGGGUCUU
Molecule: long non-coding RNA, 336 nt
Organism: Raphanus sativus (radish)
Lineage: Eukaryota; Viridiplantae; Streptophyta; Magnoliopsida; Brassicales; Brassicaceae
Exons: 3
Source: RefSeq, a predicted model, not a curated record